This 590-nucleotide unclassified non-coding RNA is filed under the name Hevea brasiliensis (rubber tree). The record is from RNAcentral. Lineage: Eukaryota; Viridiplantae; Streptophyta; Magnoliopsida; Malpighiales; Euphorbiaceae.
UCCAACAGCCAUUAUAGCCCCCUGGCCAGGAGGAAGAAUAGCAUCAAAUCGGUCCACACCAAACAUGCCCAAGUUGGACAAAGUGAAAGUCCCUGAAUUGUACUCAUGUGGUUGUAGUUGCUUAGCCCUAGCCUUCUCUACCAGUUCCUUCCACUUUUGAGACAACAGAUACAGAUCCAACUUGUCAGCAUCCUGAAGCACCGGUGUUAUCAACCCACCGUUAAUGGCCACCGCAACAGCAAUAUUAAUACUGCUGUUGUACGUAAAGCUCUUUCCAUCUUUACAAGAAGAAUUCACAACUGGAUGUUGAGCUAGUGCCAUUGCCGCAGCUUUGGCCAACAAUGCGGUCAUUGUAACACCCUUCUUCUUGACCUUUAGGUAUAAAGCAUCAAGGGCAUCAGUAAUAACUGGAUACCCAACACGAAAUGUUGGAACAGAGAGACUCUCCACCAUAUUCUUGGACACUGCAACUUGCAUUGUUGUGAACGGAACAACUGUUGACCCAGGAAUCUCUGGUAAACUAACCGGAGCAGCUUUAGCUGGCGCACCCGCUGCCGGAGCAGCAGCAGGAGGAGGAGGAGGAGGAGGAG